AGGAUAACUUAUAUACCCUAACAUCACUUUGUCGGGCAAAGAAUCAACAUCAAAACAAAAAAAACAGACAUAGACUCUUCUGUUUCACCACUCAUCCCUCCCUGUCUGCGUCCCCCACCCUGUCUGCGUCACACCAAACGACGAGCAUCACUAACACCAGGAAUCGUCCCCUUCAGUUGGUCAACUUUUACAUUUACUGCUACCCCAGUAAUCACUCCUUUCAAUGGCGCCCUUUUCUUGAGAGCAAAAUAACUCACAUUUCUUGCCCCCAUUUGUUUAACGCAGAGUGCUCUCCCUCUGACCAGCAGAAACAAACAAUUAUUACAAGACCACUUCUGGUUACCCUCACCAAUUCCACAGCACCCAACUCGGUUUUCACCCACCCUGUAACUACAAAUGGAUCAGCCAAAAAUCAUGGGUCCACUUUUUCAAAAAACUUCACUCCUACUGUCACAGACUCAUCUUUUUUCCUGACCAUUGGUGCAAGCCUCCACCUGAGAUCUUCACCACACCUACCACAUCCAAUACUUCGACCUCAUUCACUUCCAUUUCUCCUCCUGUCUUGGGCUCACUCUGCUUACACUUUCUACCAUUCUUUAACAAACCAUCUCCCUUCUCGUCCAUUUUUAACUCUCUCUCUCAUAUUCUAAGUCAGCCCAACCUCACAUUCAAUCCGCGCAUAUAUGUACAAAAUGUAUUUCACCAGAUUUCGUGCGUUUUUGUGUGGUUCAAAUCGUUCGAAAAUACACGAAUUUAUGUGCUACUUAAUUCGUGCGAAAAGACACGAAUUUAACCAGUAGGCGACACACAAGCAUUUGCAACAACCAUAGACGCGAUAGCCUGUAUUUCAUUAUUUAUUUAUUUAUUUAAAGUUAUGAAUAUAUAGAUAUGUUGUCUUUUUUUAAUCCCUAUUAAAACAUUGUAGUUGUAUGCCUAUAUGUACUGUUUUCGAUUUUUCAGAACAGACUUUUCAGUAUAGAAUUAAUGUAAGCAAUGCAUGAUGGCGAAUUGUUUUAUUCGGUUGUAGUUCCAUGUAUUUCUUACAAAAAACAAACGUGUACACCAUUUUUAUUGACCAGAAUGUAACUGAAAAUACAAUAGCAGCCUUGCCAUUGUCCAUCAAUACCAACAACAACAAAAAAUCGUACAUUUUGGGAAACGUAUGCAGUCAUUGUAGUCUUACAUUUUGUUGGCCAACCAAAAUUACCAAAACGUUAACCCAGGCUAGGGUGGAAUUGUACAAUGAGCUGGCUGAGUGUAAAUACAUGGCUCUGAGUGUAAGCAUGUACAAAAAUGUAAAUGUAAGCACCUUUUCACUAGAAACUUUAUUGUGUUCAAAUUACCGUCAGUGCGAAAUAGCUAGAAAGCUUUCGUAUGUCCACUUGGCUGCACCUACGGUUUUAAGAACGAUAAAUCAAGUGCAAUACCUGCGUCGACCUGUGACGAGCAGCAAAACACCGGGAAGUUACAAGAAGAACAAGAAUGGUUACCUCAUCCGGUCAUGUGACAUUUGUUGUUAAUAGUUUUUUCGCCCACAGCAGACGUCUAGACCCUGGACAGAUAACAGAAGGAGAGAGGGACCCCAGGAGGGACCUAAAGGAGUUGAUGAAAUCCUGUUAAGACAGACAAUCAGGUGAGAGGAGGUCCUAACUAGUCAAUGAUCUAAAUUGAUCAAAACCUGUAGACACUGUAGCCUUUAAGGACUGGAGUUGCACACAUGUCAUAGAACAACAUGAACAAGGAAGUGACAGAUUGAUAGUGCAUUGUUGGUAAAUAGAGACAGAUUGACUGAUCUGCAAGUAAUAAUAGAUAUGUAUUUGUUAUUCAAAGUGAUUUGUAGAUCAGUCAGUCUGCGUGUGGAGGAGAAUGAAGACCUUUUGACUUGCAGGACAUAGUAAAACACACACGCUAUCAAUGACAUGCAGCUUUUCUCAUAGACGGGAGGUUACUAUGUGAAGGAAUGUGUUAGGAUUGGAAGUUGUCUAUGUUUCUUCUGAGAUGAUAUGGCCUCUGAGGACCCCCAAGACCAACUGGAUGAGGCUAUUAAAAAGGAAGAACGCCUUGCUGAGGAGCUCAACCAAGAGAAUGACCCACAAGCCCAACUGGACGAGGCCAUUAACGAGGCAAAAAGGCUGGCUGAGGAACUCAACCCAGAACGGGAAAAUAAGAAGAAAAAGACAAACAAGCCUCCAGGGAUUAGGUUCAGAUGGAGACAAAGGGAUGAGAGAGGACAGAUUGUUCCUCAAACCAGGAAGGCAACUACAUCCACUUCCCUUGCUCCAAGGGCCAGUACAUCAAGAGCCAGACUAGUGCAACAUUUUGGGCCAGUCACUGAGGAGGAAGAAUCAGAGACAAGGACCAGUGGAUUGGAUUCCACUCCAGUUUUAAACAUUGAUGAAGAAAUAGCAAUACUUCAUCGAAAAAUUAACAUCCUCCUAGCUGAUUUAGAAGACCCUGAGUGUUCAAAUCCUGCUGUGCCUGGUGCAUCACACAGUUGAAGUGUGAGGAAGGAACUCUCACAGGAUAGGUGGAGGGAGUCCAGGCCUGAGAUUGUAGAUUCUCUACUGGCUGCAGAGCAUGCUUCUCAGAAGAUCUGUCAGUCAUGCAAUGUGAAAAGGGCUAUUCUGCGAUGUAGAGACUGUCUGCCGAAACAGCUUUACUGCGAAGACUGCGAUGUCUUUACACAUGCAAAGUUCCCCCUGCACAACAGACAGUCCAUGAUGGAGGGAUUCUACACACCCCUUCCUCCAACUACAGCCAUAUCACUCCACACUGAUGGCAAAUAUGCACUUCAUGAACAGGAGGGGAUAUGUGGUUGCCUGACUAGCACCAUCCAUGUUGGCCCUGGGAAACAUAUCAUCCUCAUAGGAAUAAAUGGUCGCUACAAUGUUACAGUGACUGUGCUGACUUGCACAACCUGUCUUAGCACCUGAACAGCAAACUUGGCAGAUCUGAUAAAGAAUGGGUACUGGCCUGCCACUGUCAACUGUGACACCAUAUACCAGGUAGAUCUGUUCAGCUCUUUUGAGAAGCUGAAAGUGUCAGCCCCAGGAAUGUCCCGUCUGGCGUUUAUGCGGAUUUUGGAGCAGCGAACUGACUUCUUUGGCAGGAACGGAAUGAUCUGUGGGGACACUUUUCAAAAAAGCUUCUUUGAGUGGACGUACUGCCGCUCUGAAAUUGAUCAGGUCUGUGAUAUACAGUACUUUGACUGCCCAGCCUGUUCACCCAGCAUGCUAGCAGUGUCAGUGGACGGGAACAAGAAGCUGUAUCGAUUCAAAAAACGGGUUAUGGAAAAGAGGUAUGUGGAGCAUCCCAGUGGACAGCAGCUAAAGAGUCGUCAAGAAAAACAAACAACAAACUUGAUGAAGAGGGACUCGAAGUUGCUGUCUGCCGCCACGGAAUACUUCUAAGGAGCCUCAACAUGAUGCGUGGAGAGAUAUUUGCGUACCCACUGUUCUUGCAGAAGGAAUUGUCUGGCAGCAGGAACAUACAAUUCAUGUGUACAGAUGUGAUCUGCAAAUUUUGGCCAUACCUGACCAAAGUUGCCCUUCAUUGUCCACAGCUCGCCACUCUUCUAGACAUGAAGCCACUUCUUUCCGUCAUGCAUGCAAAGGCACAUCGUUUGAAAUGCUAGAUUAAGUGGGGAGGACGGAAUCAGGAAGGAGCUGGCACAACUCUGGGGGAGGAAGUGGAACAAGGGAACAGCUUCUUGUCGAGGGCUGCAAUCUGUUCCAAGCAAAUGUCCAAAGGAGCAAGAACAGACAUGCUAACCAUCCAGGUCAUGGGGUGGAACAGAAGGAAGAAGAACAACCUGCACAGAGUAUUGUCCAGAAGAUACUUGAAGACAACAGCAAAAAUCCAGGAGGAGACCCAGACUCUCAAAACGUUUAAGAGUGAUUUGGGUGUAGGCGAUGAGACUCUGUACGACUGGACAACGGAAGUUCAGCAAUGGGCUAAUACAGAGGAAACAAAUGAGAACAUGGAUGGUCCCCAGGUACUACAGAGAACAAUUGAAGUCCUGUUUCUUAGCAUCAAACAAAGGAAACAGAACCUCUACCGUCAGACAGAUGGAUGCAAGAAAAGACACCCUCUGCGCAGAAAGAUAUUGGAAGAAAAGGCCAAAUUGACAGCUGCCAUAGAGGAGUACAACACCCUAUGAUUCACAGAUUCAGCAAUACCAUCUGCAGAUGAGAUCCUUUCCGCAGACCUUCAUGCAUGGCCUUGGGAGCUGCAUGGACAAACUGACCUACUCACAAAGAAAAUAGCCUUUGACCGGGUGAUGCUCCUGAGACGGCUGAAGGAGGAAGAGUUAAUUGUCCUAAAGGAAGUCAAGCAGCACUGGGAAAGCCUAAAGAGGGAAUCGGAGAAUGUGCAAGGCCUUGCUUCACAUGUGGCACUUGACCUAAGCGGGCUGGCAAUUGAAUUAGUCGGAAGCUGGGAGCAGAGGUCUCUUCUCCAUGCUUCAGAGGAGAGUCAGCAGCCUCAGAAGACACCAGGACUCUGUCAAACUGAUAUACAGCAAGCUAUGGACCAAGACACCUCCCUCCUAGAAAAUAACUUCAUAGAGGACCUCCUGGAAGAGGACCUAGAUGACAUCUAUGACAGCAUCCACUACAGCUCUGAUGGCGAGGAAUCUAUCACAGACUGACAGUGUUCAUUUGGGUGGGUGCAGUAGUGGUUGAAAAGUGAUUCCAUUUUUUUUGCAUGUGCGCUUUAUCUGCCUUCCUAAGGAUAAAUAGUUUGAACAUUUUAUGGAAAAUAAACGUUUGUUUCUUCCUUGUUGACAAUGUGAUCAUGUGGCACAGAUUUGAGAAGGGCGCUCGUCUAUUACUGCUUUUGCCCGGUUACAUGACCAGGUCCGAUGCAUCCCUUUAAAUGGCCAAUCUGCAGUUGCUACAUCCACUUUUGGAAGAAUAGAAUUUAUAAAUGCCUCAUGAACAUAGUUCAACUGCCGUACCCCAUCAGAUCCCAAAAUAUAUCUUUUUUUCUACUCCAAUGUUUGUAAACAAAGUAAAUGUAAACAUACACUAGCAUGUGUCAAACUCAUUCCACGGGUGAGCCGAGUGUCUGCGGGUUUUUGCUCCUCAAAUUAUUGAUGAAUUAAGGUCACUAAUUAGUAAAUAACUCCCCUCGCCUGGUUGUCUAGGUCUUACUUGAAAGGAAAAAACAAAAACCAGCAGACACUAGGCUCUCCAUGGAAGGAGAUUGACACCACGGGACUAUAGCCUGGAAACAUGGUUUAAACUAUGGUUACAUUUCUCCAGCCCCAUCCCUCUGCUUUUUACAGAACCAUUGGCGGGGAGAACGAUUUAUUGUUUCACCUGGUGAUUUCCGAUUUAAACAUUGUUAAACUGUAAUGUACUGUGCUUGUGUGUGCUUAUUAGUUUAGUUAAUAAAAAACUAAAAAAGGU
Molecule: non-coding RNA, 5411 nt
Organism: Salmo salar (Atlantic salmon)
Lineage: Eukaryota; Metazoa; Chordata; Actinopteri; Salmoniformes; Salmonidae
Source: RefSeq, a predicted model, not a curated record